CCUACGGGAGGCAGCAGUGGGGAAUAUUGGGCAAUGGGCGCAAGCCUGACCCAGCAACGCCGCGUGAAGGAAGAAGGCUUUCGGGUUGUAAACUUCGUUUCUCAGGGACGAAGAAAGUGACGGUACCUGAGGAAUAAGCCACGGCUAACUACGUGCCAGCAGCCGCGGUAAUACGUAGGUGGCAAGCGUUAUCCGGAUUUACUGGGGGUAAAGGGCGGGUAGGGGGGACUGCAAGUCAGAUGGGAAAACCAAGGGCUCAACCUGUGGCCUGCUUUUGAAACGGUAGUUCUUGAGUACUGGAUAGGCAGCCGGAAUUCCUAGUGUAGCGGUGAAAUGCGUAGAUAUUAGGAGGCACCCCAGUGGCGAAGGCGGUCUGCUGGACUGCACCUGACGCUGAGGCGCGAAAGCGUGGGGAGCAAACAGGAUUAGAUACCCCUGUAGUC
Molecule: ribosomal RNA, 443 nt
Filed under: uncultured bacterium
Lineage: Bacteria
Description: partial 16S ribosomal RNA
Rfam family: Bacterial small subunit ribosomal RNA
Source: RNAcentral